CCUACGGGAGGCAGCAGUGAGGAAUAUUGGUCAAUGGACUUACGUCUGAACCAGCCAAGUAGCGUGAGGGAUGACUGCCCUAUGGGUUGUAAACCUCUUUUGUAAGGGAGUAAUUUGUUCUACGUGUAGCGUUAUCGAGAGUACCUGUAGAAAAAGCAUCGGCUAAUCCCGUGCCAGCAGCCGCGGUAAUACGGAGGAUGCGAGCGUUAUCCGGAUUUUUUGGGUUUAAAGGGUGCGUAGGCGGAAUGCCAAGUCAGCGGUAAAAGCGCGGGGCUCAACCUCGCUCCGCCGUUGAAACUGGCGUUCUUGAGUGGGCGAGAAGUAUGCGGAAUGCGUGGUGUAGCGGUGAAAUGCAUAGAUAUCACGCAGAACUCCGAUUGCGAAGGCAGCAUACCGGCGCCCAACUGACGCUGAAGCACGAAAGCGUGGGUAUCGAACAGGAUUAGAUACCCUUGUAGUC
RNAcentral lists this ribosomal RNA (460 nucleotides) under uncultured bacterium. RNAcentral's name for it is "partial 16S ribosomal RNA". It matches the Rfam family "Bacterial small subunit ribosomal RNA", at positions 338 to 795 of the family's 1533-position model. The record is from RNAcentral.